GCGAUUCGGCAUGGUUUGAUUUUUAUUUUCUUUCUUGCUUUUGUCUUGUUGUUUUCGUUAAUUAUUGAUUGAAGUAUCAUUUUUGUUGUUGUAAUUUUUUGAUUUGAUUUUUUUGCGAUAGUUUAUUUGUACUGUGGAGGGACGUUAUUUAUUUUUUGGAAGUUGACUUUGUUUGUUGUACCUUGUGUAUCAGGGUUUAUUGAAUUUUAUUAUUUAUUUUUGUUUCCCGAUUUUAAAGGAGUUAAUGGUUUAUUUUGGUUGCUGUUUCAUUAGCAUUAAUAAUAUUCUGUUGGUAGUGAAAUGUUAAUCGUCUUUGAUGGUUUCUGGUUUUCUGGGAAAUGAAUUUAAUUCAUGCGCUUUAUUUAGAUUUUAUCUUUUGUUUAUUUUUCUUUAUUUGGCGUUAAAAUUGAGGGGGAUUAGCUCUUCAUUUUAUUCUUAUAAUUUUUGUGUUUAUCUAGUUUUGUGGUUUUUAUAGUGAUUUUCAAUUUGAUUAUGUUAAAAUUUUAUUUUCUCUUUUUUUGAUUUUCUCUUGAUUUAAUUUGUUUAUUGGAAUGUUUUCUUUAUUUUGUUUUGUUUAGUAAUUAUUGUAGAAUUAGUAAAUUUUAUUUUUAUGUUGUUUUUUGAGUGUUAAUUCUUUUUAAGGAAUUAGGCAAAAGUUUCAUGUCCGCCUGUUUAACAAAAACAUCUUUUCUUGUUAGUUUUUGAAGUAUGGUCUGCCCGCUGACUUUAGGUUGAAGGGCCGCGGUAUUUUGACCGUGCAAAGGUAGCAUAAUCAUUAGUUCUUUAAUUGUGAUCUGGUAUGAAUGGCUUGACGAGGCAUGGUCUGUCUUGAAUUGGGAUUUGUUUAAUUGAAUUUGGUUUUUGAGUUAAAAUUCUUAAAUGUUUUUAUGGGACGAGAAGACCCUAUAGAGUUUGACAUUCGAUGUUUGGCUUGGUUUGGUUUGUUUGAGUUUAUGCUUUGUUUCGUUUGUUUUGUUGGGGUGAUGGGAGGAAUUUUCUUAACUCCUCUUUAUUUUUGGUAUAUUUAUUUGUAUAUGUUUUGAUCCAUUUAUUUUGAUUAUAAGAUUAAAUUACCUUAGGGAUAACAGCGUUAUCCUCCUUGAGAGUUCUUAUUGGCGGGAGGGUUUGCGACCUCGAUGUUGGAUUAAGAUAAAUUUUUGGUGUAGGAGCUGAAUUGAUUGGGUCUGUUCGACCUUUAAAAUCUUACAUGAUCUGAGUUCAAACCGGCGUGAGCCAGGUUGGUUUCUAUCUAUAAUGAAUUUUUAUAUCUUAGUACGAGAGGACCGGGUAUUUGGAAUAAUUUUGUUUUUAUUGUAUUUUAUUAAUAGUUGCUAUUUUGGCAGAUAAGUGCAUUGGAUUUAGAAUCUAUUAA
This 1372-nucleotide ribosomal RNA is filed under the name Macrotermes falciger. RNAcentral's name for it is "16S ribosomal RNA". The stretch from base 1081 to 1240 matches the Rfam family "Bacterial large subunit ribosomal RNA", at positions 2473 to 2632 of the family's 2925-position model. Lineage: Eukaryota; Metazoa; Arthropoda; Insecta; Blattodea; Termitidae. The record is from RNAcentral.